Small nuclear RNA from Otolemur garnettii (small-eared galago), 134 nucleotides. Its record names the gene U4. It matches the Rfam family "U4 spliceosomal RNA". Rfam says of the family: U4 small nuclear RNA (U4 snRNA) is a component of the major U2-dependent spliceosome. The structure of U4 snRNA from yeast and human has been reported. NCBI's taxonomy places the organism in Eukaryota, Metazoa, Chordata, Mammalia, Primates, Galagidae. The record is from Ensembl.
AUCAAAGUGGCAGAAUCAUAGCCAAUGAGGCUUAUCUAAGGUGUAAUCAUUGCUAACUGAAAACUCUUCCCAGACCCCAUUGUAAUGACUUUCAAUAUAAUCAGCAUUGGAAAUUUUUAACAAUUUCUAUGAAG